Mauremys reevesii (Reeves's turtle) is the source of this 967-nucleotide long non-coding RNA. RefSeq lists it as uncharacterized. The transcript has 4 exons. Lineage: Eukaryota; Metazoa; Chordata; Testudines; Geoemydidae. The record is from RefSeq and is a predicted model, not a curated record.
GCCAUGCCAGAGAGCCAAAAAGUUAGACCCUGUUUGGCCUUGGCAGAGUUAAACUGUGCUUAAGCAGCGUUAACAUGUUAGGGCCAGGUUCUCAGCUGGCGUAACUGGCGGUGAUACUUUGACAUUAAGUCAAUGGAGCUAUGCCAGUUUACACCAGCAGAGAAUCUGACUCUUUGCUUGUAGCCCAUAAAGAUGAGAACAUGGGUUGGAAUUUUCAAAGGGGUCUGGCUCUCUUACACACCCAAGUCCUAUUAACUUUCAAUGAGAUUUGAGCUGCAAAUUAAAACAUUAGCUUUGCUAAAUGCUCAGUGCUCCGAUUGCAAGCACUUUUAGUCAGAUAUUCAGCGAAACCCUAUUGUUAGCCAUAUUCAAAACCUCUCAAUGUACCAACAUGCAUACACAGCGCGGUUGAUGCUAUAGGAAUAACCCCUCCUCAGACCAGAAUGGCUCCCUGAAGUUUUCAUAUUGGGCAUUUUGGCUUCAAAAUCUCUGUGCUGUCAGUGAUGAGGACCAAGUGGCGUAUACCAGGGCAGGUGACCACACAAUGGCUAGACCAGAUGUGCCAUCUAUAGGCCUGAGCCUAUUCCAUUGAAGUCAACGGCAGACUGCCCAUGGGGAGCCCUGUUGGAAGAUGUAGCUUCUAGAGGGCCCAACCACGAUCAGUGCCCCAGCGAGCCAGACAUGUCCACACCCAGACAGCAAGAGACAAUCCCUGGCCUGAGGGACUUACAGUCGGAUAGACGUCACAGUCAAAAUAGGAGCCAGCUGAAGAGAGGGAACUUAGGGGAAGACAUGAAGAAACACCAAGGAAUAUAGGAGAGAAAAACAAGGAUCAGGAAAGAGGGCCCAGCAGUGAAAAAGAGAAACAUUUUCUAUUUUCCCCCCUGUGAUUCAUGAUAACUCCAUGUAUUUAUAGUCUGGAAAUUUACAGCGGCCGCUUAAUCACUCAACUCUCAUUCUCUUGAGA